UACAGAGGGUGCAAGCGUUAAUCGGAUUUACUGGGCGUAAAGCGUGCGUAGGCGGUUCAUUAAGUCGGUUGUGAAAUCCCUGGGCUUAACCUGGGAACUGCAGUCGAUACUGGUGAACUAGAAUGCGGUAGAGGGUGGCGGAACUCCGGGUGUAGCGGUGAAAUGCGUAGAUAUCCGGAAGAACACCGAUGGCGAAGGCAGGUCUCUGGGCAUUAACUGACGCUGAGGAGCGAAAGCAUGGGGAGCGAACAGG
Molecule: ribosomal RNA, 253 nt
Filed under: uncultured bacterium
Lineage: Bacteria
Description: partial 16S ribosomal RNA
Rfam family: Bacterial small subunit ribosomal RNA
Source: RNAcentral